Long non-coding RNA from Micropterus dolomieu (smallmouth bass), 1041 nucleotides. RefSeq lists it as uncharacterized. The transcript has 2 exons. The record is from RefSeq and is a predicted model, not a curated record. NCBI's taxonomy places the organism in Eukaryota, Metazoa, Chordata, Actinopteri, Centrarchiformes, Centrarchidae.
CAGUGUCCUCGGUUUUCCUGCUGACGAAUAUCUCAUAUGAUAUAUGACUAACCAUGUAAUUCAGACUGAGUGGAGGCCAAUAUAUUUUACAAAUUAAAUAAUUAUGUUGUCUCUUAACCUCAUCACUUAGUGAGAGAGAAGUUCUUGAUCCCUGUGGACAAGAUCACUGUGAAAGAUGAUUCUGGCACUGAGGUGGAUGAAUCUGUGUUUGCAGAAUUAUCCACAGUGGAAGGGAUUUGUUUUGUUAUCAAGGACAGUCGUGCCAAUGGUAUAUUUUAAAAAUUGCUUCAUUUCACAUUGCAUUAAUAGGAGUGCUUAUUUCAAAUGCAUCCAUUGCAAUGAAUUUAUUGCCUUACAACCCUAACCCAGUAUUAGAACUAGCAUAUGAAGUAUUAAGACUCCUGUUGGAAACAGGUUUAACUUGAAGUAAAAAUUGAUCGCUUAAAAAACAAGGAAUGUUUUUAUAGCACCAACUAGGGCAUAGUUUUUAGCUGUUUGUGGACAUUCAUAAAUGGCCAAAGCAGAUGUUUUCUUUUGAAUUAAUAACUGUUCAGUCUGGACAGAUAUAAGCAGAGUUUCUUGCAUGGCUGGUAGCAGGGGUCAUGCCCAGUUUUUCAUUCCAAAAUUUGAUCCACAACUACAGUGCAAAUAAGGUGAAUUGUUCAUUAUAUCUUUUAUUCUUAGAUUCAGGAAAAUCUCAGUCGUCACCUCCAUCCACACCACUACCCCAUCCAGUGGGAGUUUCCUUUGUGUCCAGCAGCAGCAGUGACAGUGAAACGUCAAGACAUCCCAAGCGAAUUAGAAGUGAUGAAGAGGCAUUGCAGAGUUCUUCAGCCAGAUAUCAUCCAAAGGUCUCUGCACGGCCCUGGUCUUAGGGACUUGUCGUUUACUACGUUUUCUUGUCGUCUCUUCGGACUAAAGACUCAGAAAUAAUCAGUCUCAUGUGACUGAAUGGAAAUGACUAUAAAUGAUGUAAAAAGUGUUUCUUCAUGACGGAUUCUCUGACUUUGUCUCCAAUAAUAAUAAAGGUUAUGGAAGAAA